Molecule: ribosomal RNA, 253 nt
Filed under: uncultured bacterium
Lineage: Bacteria
Description: partial 16S ribosomal RNA
Rfam family: Bacterial small subunit ribosomal RNA
Source: RNAcentral
UACGUAGGUGACUAGCGUUGUUCGGAAUUACUGGGCGUAAAGCGCGUGUAGGCGGUUGUUCAAGUCAGGUGUGAAAGCCUUGAGCUCAACUCAAGAAAUGCACUUGAUACUGGAUGACUAGAGGACCGGAGAGGAUAGUGGAAUUCCCAGUGUAGUGGUGAAAUACGUAGAGAUUGGGAAGAACACCAGUGGCGAAGGCGGCUAUCUGGACGGUUUCUGACGCUAAGACGCGAAAGCGUGGGGAGCAAACAGG